GAUUUUUUAUAACUGUAAUGGCUCUCAAAAAGAGGAUCUCUGGUUACUUUUUCCCCUAUGCUAUCAGGCAGACAGCAGAGACUGAGCAAAGUGGUAAGGGGCUGAACCUAAGGCAGUGGGCUGUGACCCACGCCAAGCAAUAGCUCAUCUACCCAUCUCCAUAAGCCACUGAGGUCUGGGACUUCUUACAGAAGGAUUUAAAAGCACAUCAGCAGAUGGGACAACUGUUGUUUUCAAAGCAGAAAAUGAAGGGCUUUGCUUUUUCCCCCACUGAUGGGUGAAUCACAAACCUCCCAACUCCCAGCCUCAUCCCAGUUCAUGCAGAGCACAGAAUAAAGCUUUCAGCCUCUGCUCUUUGCACAUGGCAGGCUGUGGUGACAGCUGGGAAACCUUCAUUCCAAAGCAAAUGUGUUUUCCAAAGAAAAGCAUUAAUCUAUCAGGAGGAAAUCAGUUGUCUUGUGAGUUAAGUGUGGUUUUUGCACUGUGUCCUCCAUGGAGGUUACUGGCUGAUUCCUCUUUGUCUGCAAAAACAGUGCUUUAAAUUAUUUAGAGGAAACUAUACAAUCUUGGCUGCUGCGCGCUAUUACGAUUGCACAACUUGUCCCAGUGAAAACCACGUGCAGACAGGCUGUAAAGUCAUGGCUGUUUUGUAGUAGGAAGACAAACUGAAGCUGUUAAACCAGGAUGUAAAAUAAGGAGCAACAGAAACACACAUCCUGCUGAAGAGCCUCUGAGCUGCGUGUUUGCCUGGGAACUUCUGUCUGACCGCUGUACAAUCAAGGGUUCAGGUCAAAUUCAGAUGCAAUUACGGCACUGGGACUUCUCAUAGUCGUUGCGCCGAAGCCGCGUGCUGAGGAUGCCCGCCCACAGCAGCCACGUUAGCAGCAGUGAGGAGGUUUCUGCAGAUGGGAUCUUUUGGUGGGAAUUGCAGCCGUAGGAGGCCUGCGGUGUCUGGGCAGCAGCUUUGAGCUUUGCUGAAGGGCAGUGGAGUUGGUUCACUUUGGGGAGGUUCAGAGUUAGCCUAUCCAGCAUGAGGGGAUUGCAGCUCCUGCUUGCGUAGAAGUCGAAUCUUUGCUGUGUUGUUCCUCCACAAGAAAACGUUAAGAAAAAGGUUGAAAAUUAUGAGUGUCUGUCCAUCUUCCCCACCAUUUUAUUUCAGCAUAAAGAGCAAAUAACUGUGUGCUGUGAUUGCAGCUACUGCCGAAUUACGUGGUGAUUCAUGGCGUGCAGAUUACAGGGCAAGGGUUAUAGCUGGGAUUGCUGUGGUUUCUCCAGAUCCCUGAGUAUCAUGCACUCAUAAGCACUGGGUUUUUCUGCUUGUGUGACAAUGUUUAGCUUGAGCUGCAGGCCCAAUUAAGUGGGAAGAUGGCGAAAUGCAUCUUAACUGCUGUGGCACUGCAAGUGUGAAAUCUCCUUGAAAAUAAAGUGACAGCUGAAUGAGCUUCUCCCAUUGUCUUCUGGAUGUUCUGAGAGCUGGCAGCAGCCAUAGGGGCCUAUGGCAGUGCAGAAAGCCACAUCCAGCUGCUGGCGAGGAGAUCGCUGGUACUUGGGUGGUGGUGGAGAGGAAGGCUGACACUGGUGGGAGUGGGAGGAUGAGGAAGUGGUUCGCUUUGGCUCACUGUGGGGUCUCAAAUCAGUGAGUUACUUUCUUAUUAAAGCCAGAAAAGCUACAGUUCUUCAAACCCUGUUCUUGCUCAUGGUGAAAUCUCCCCCCUUGCAGACACCGUCGCUGCGUGUGCCUCUAACAGCAUCGUUUUAGCAUGCAGGAUCAUGUGGGUGUGCAUGGAUCCUGCCUGGGGGUGCACUGCCGGAGUGGAUUUCUAAUUAUAGCUAAUUGCAGGGUUGGUGCUCCCUGGAUUUGGCCUGAUAGAAGUCAAACGAUUUCCUGUUGCUCAGCACUUUGCAGAUGUGCACUCAGAGGCGCUGUGAUGGAUGUGCUUUCUAUCCAGCUUGGUGCAUGCACGCUCUUCACUCUCCUUC
Lagopus leucura (white-tailed ptarmigan) is the source of this 1980-nucleotide long non-coding RNA. RefSeq lists it as uncharacterized. Lineage: Eukaryota; Metazoa; Chordata; Aves; Galliformes; Phasianidae. The record is from RefSeq and is a predicted model, not a curated record. The transcript is spliced from 3 exons.